GGGGCUGUAGCUCAGUGGCAGAGCACUUGCCUAGCAUGCGUGAAGCAAUGGGUUCAAUCCUCAGCACCA
This is a non-coding RNA of Ictidomys tridecemlineatus (thirteen-lined ground squirrel), 69 nucleotides long. Lineage: Eukaryota; Metazoa; Chordata; Mammalia; Rodentia; Sciuridae. The record is from Rfam.